GAAAAAUCCCAACUGAACUCCACUCGGGGAAUUCCUGCCAGGAACAUGAUGGUGCUGAGGGAGGGUUGGGUCGGGUAGGGGAACGAUCAGCUGAUGCUGAACAGGAAGCUGUGCUGCUCUCCCAUUGGCUGCUGUAGAAUCAUCAGGUCAGCUGUAAACACACGCCUCUUUGAAUAUGAAGGAGGCUCCACAGGAAUGUAGUGCUGAAGUCCACAGUGCAGACGUCAGGGUUGGAGACGCAUUCCAGUGAUUCC
RNAcentral lists this long non-coding RNA (254 nucleotides) under Gouania willdenowi (blunt-snouted clingfish). RNAcentral describes it as "lncRNA (ENSGWIG00000009206.1)". Lineage: Eukaryota; Metazoa; Chordata; Actinopteri; Blenniiformes; Gobiesocidae. The record is from RNAcentral.